This 205-nucleotide ribosomal RNA is filed under the name Vibrio cholerae. Its description in RNAcentral is "partial 16S ribosomal RNA". It matches the Rfam family "Bacterial small subunit ribosomal RNA", at positions 407 to 604 of the family's 1533-position model. The record is from RNAcentral. Lineage: Bacteria; Pseudomonadati; Pseudomonadota; Gammaproteobacteria; Vibrionales; Vibrionaceae.
GAAGAAGGCCUUCGGGUUGUAAAGUACUUUCAGUAGGGAGGAAGGUGGUUAAGUUAAUACCUUAAUCAUUUGACGUUACCUACAGAAGAAGCACCGGCUAACUCCGUGCCAGCAGCCGCGGUAAUACGGAGGGUGCAAGCGUUAAUCGGAAUUACUGGGCGUAAAGCGCAUGCAGGUGGUUUGUUAAGUCAGAUGUGAAAGCCCU